AUACGUAUGUCGCAAGCGUUAUCCGGAAUUAUUGGGCGUAAAGCGAGUCUAGGCGGCUUGUUAAGUCAGAUGUGAAAAUGCGGGGCUCAACUCCGUAUUGCGUUUGAAACUGGCAGGCUAGAGUACUGGAGAGGUGGGCGGAACUACAAGUGUAGAGGUGAAAUUCGUAGAUAUUUGUAGGAAUGCCGAUAGUGAAGACAGCUCACUGGACAGAUACUGACGCUAAAGCUCGAAAGCGUGGGGAGCAAACAGGAUUAGAUACCCGAGUAGUCC
RNAcentral lists this ribosomal RNA (273 nucleotides) under uncultured bacterium. RNAcentral's name for it is "partial 16S ribosomal RNA". It matches the Rfam family "Bacterial small subunit ribosomal RNA", at positions 523 to 796 of the family's 1533-position model. The record is from RNAcentral.